GGUUGUGGCUCAGUGGCAGAGUGCUUGCCUAGCAUGUGCGAUACCCUGAGUUCAAUCCUCAGCACCA
This 67-nucleotide transfer RNA is filed under the name Marmota monax (woodchuck). Its description in RNAcentral is "tRNA.Ala". The record is from RNAcentral. Lineage: Eukaryota; Metazoa; Chordata; Mammalia; Rodentia; Sciuridae.